Molecule: long non-coding RNA, 3099 nt
Organism: Acipenser ruthenus (sterlet)
Lineage: Eukaryota; Metazoa; Chordata; Actinopteri; Acipenseriformes; Acipenseridae
Exons: 5
Source: RefSeq, a predicted model, not a curated record
UUGUCUAGUCAUACUUGCCUGUGAUUUCACAUGAUUCACGCAGCAUUGUGUAGCCUGUGUGCGUCUGUAUGUGCAGUUCAUUUCAGAGUGGUUACUGUAUUUGAAGUUGGCGGUUGUAAAAGCAAGACCGAACAGAAGGUGGUCUUCAUCCGAAGAAUCAUCUGACGGUGAUGAACUUCUUCAAAGGAUCUUGAACAAACACAGAAGCAAGAGUAGAGCACUGCCAAACACUGAGUCUGCACCUGAACCUCAUGCAUUACCUGCUCCCAGACCCAAACACCAGAAUGUGCGCCAGAAUCCCACCAGCACACCACAAGACACAUUGAAAAGGAUGCGGCUGGAGUGUGGGUCUUUACCAGCCUUGGAAACACCACAGCUUAUGUUACCUUCAACAGUUGUUCUGUAUGUCUUGAGGAGAGGAGAUCGAACUCAGCAUUUAACAUGUACAUCUUUGUACCGUUCCGGAGUGGGAAAAAUGGCGUAUUUCUUGUCAACCUGCAGAAGUUGAUCGAUCUGGAGACAGAUGGACUUGGAGAAGAAUGAUAAUGAGGUUGUAAAACACAAUUCCUAUCGCCACCUAAUAUUAAAAGAUGAGUGUGAAGAUUAGGUAAAUUGGAAAACCAUUUAGUAAAAAACUGAUGGUCAUCCCAGUUUGGAGCGUAUACAUUAGCUAAAACAAUGGGAGUGUUGUACAGUUUACCAGUCACAAUGAUAUAACGUCCCUCUGAGUCUGCUAUCACUUAGAAGGAAGACAAUGGAACAUAUUUAUAUAUUAGUAUGGCUGUAGCCCUUGCCUUUCCAUUAAAUCUGGAGUGAAACAGCUGCCCCACCCUGCCCCUGCGUAUUCGAAAGUGAUCUCACGUAGGUAGGUGUGUCUCCUGCAGGAAUCCAGUGCCCAUUUUAAGUUGCUGAAGGUGUGAAAGCACUUUGUUGUGCUUAACUGGGUGUUUAAGGCCCUUGACUUUCCAACUGAUGAAUUGAACCGGGGACCCACUGGUAACCAUACCACUAGCGGUAGCCAUUGUGAAAUAGGGACAAUACAGAAAGUAAGAAUGUGGAUCUAAAUAAAGGCUUUACUAGUUUCACACUAGGGUUUGAUAGACAUUUAAACUCAGACCAUCUCAAAAAAUGAAGCGUCACGUGGCUCAUAAAGAGAAUAGAAAUAAAAGACAAAGCAAAAAGAGGUUAAAAAUAAAAUAGAGAAAGAGAAAAACAAAACCAUCCUUACCCACUCGCAACACCUCCCCAAAUGAGGCGAGAUCGCUACCCAUUCUUAUUAUUUACUGUCUGUGAAUGUAAUGGAAAAAGAAACAAUACUACAUCGCAUCAGGCCCCAGAGUCUAAAUCUGCAGUUAAACAUAGAGUAUAGAUUAAUAUAUACAUCCAGUGUGGACUGAAAAAGAAAAUAAAAAUGAGUGUUUAAAAAUAAAAUAAAAAGGAUAAUAACACCAGCAACAAUAAUACUAAAUAACAACAAUAAUAAUUAAUACAUACAUAUAUAAAAUAAUUAAAAAAAACAUCUCUCUGUCAGCAACAUACAAGUGAGCAAAACAGUUUGUCCCAGCCCUUGAUUAGAAAAAAAAACAGCUCUGUGUUGCCAGUGAUGUAGAAGUAAAUUAUCAAUAUUUCAGCAUUAUAAAACAAAGGAACUCACUUGCAAAUAAUUAUGUUUUAAAUUAGUAUAACAUCACUUAACUCUUCCCAAAUUAAAUAAAAGUUAAACCAUGGUAGGAAUAUAUGAAUAAGAACGACAAGUUCAAUUUAAGAAUAUAUACAGAUGUGUAUACUUCAACCCCACCCAGCAUUUUAAUGCUGCACAUCUUCCCUGUGUUAUGCCCCUAAUCUAAUAUAAAUGGAAUAGCCGGUAUGUGAAUAACCUAAGUGAGAAGAUGAAAACAUAACAAUAAUAGCCAUAAUAAUAAUCCUCAGCGGGCACCACAGAUAUACAAGACAAAACACAUUUGGUAGAUUCGGCUCAAUCUAAAAGUAUAAAGUAUCCUUCUGAAAUGUUAGGGAGGAGGAGGUCGAGGGAGAAAAAAUAUAUAUAUAUAUAUAUAUAUAUAUAUAUAUAUAUACACACACACACACACACACAGAUACAUUCCUCAAGAUAUGCUUUCAAUCAGUGGUGCUAAUAAAAUUAGUUAAACUAAAUUGAAAUUAACCUGCUAUUAUGGAAAAGCUUCUACCUACUCUCGUUCUCGUAUCCAAACAUCACUUUGCAGAGUCAUGCCCAGCCCCAGAUGGAGCGUAUGAAAAACAUAAUCUGCGUAAUGUACAAUUGUACAAUGUAAUUCCCAAACUUAGCCAGUAACAGAAACUGGACCCUUUUUUCUUUUUUUUCUUAAAUGCCACCUAUGAGCCUAACUUUGCCAUUGCAACGUUAUGUAAAAAGUGAAAUACACAAUAAGUAAAUAGAUACAAAUAAAAAUAAGACGGCAUUAAAUUCAGAGAUUGGGGUCCAACAUAAGCAGUUCAUGUAUUGUCGUUAAAUAAAAUGAAAGAAGAGUCUUAAGUCAUUGUUCCAGCGAGGAGUUGUUGUUGAAUCAAAGGCGUGUCAAAUCCAAACAAAACACAACGAUAUUUUCAUGCUGAAAAGAUCAGAGGGUUUUCUUUUCUCAAGAGUGAUUCAGCUGCCUGGACAGAUCUGAAGGACCGUGGGCUCCCCUCCAGCUCCAUCCGCAGCACAGCAAGAUGGCGCAAACUCUGUUGAGAGGCACAUUCUGGCCAUGUUGCAUAGCAUACAGGUGCAAGUACAACACGACACUCAUGUUCACCAGUCACUAAGCCAUGGCCAGAAUAUGCAAUCAACCCUGUUGCAGAAACCGGAUGCUGUUGAGUUCCUGCCACUAGAGGGCAUGCCCUCACUGGAUGCCCUGGAAGACAGACUAAUCCAGGAAGUGGAUCUGAAGGCGGCAAUUUAUUUAAUGUGCUUUUACACUGCAACACUAUGUAAAGCAACUGAAGUGGAGGCAGAAAAUUACAUCAAGGAGUGGUCUAAGGUUUUUAUGAAUAUGUUAAAAAGUGAUAUGCUACUGAAAAGUAUUAAUAAUAAAAAAUAAUUAAUCAGAUGUUGCAUUGAGUUUUCAUUGGUGGUAU